GUGGAUUAGAUACCCUGGUAGUCCACACCGUAAACGUUGGGCGCUAGGUGUGGGGUCCAUUCCACGGAUUCCGUGCCGCAGCUAACGCAUUAAGCGCCCCGCCUGGGGAGUACGGCCGCAAGGCUAAAACUCAAAGGAAUUGACGGGGGCCCGCACAAGCGGCGGAGCAUGCGGAUUAAUUCGAUGCAACGCGAAGAACCUUACCUGGGUUUGACAUAUGCCGGAAAGCUCCAGAGAUGGAGCCCCUUUUAGUCGGUAUACAGGUGGUGCACGGCUGUCGACAGCU
This 286-nucleotide ribosomal RNA is filed under the name uncultured bacterium. RNAcentral's name for it is "partial 16S ribosomal RNA". It matches the Rfam family "Bacterial small subunit ribosomal RNA", at positions 773 to 1060 of the family's 1533-position model. The record is from RNAcentral.